Molecule: long non-coding RNA, 1906 nt
Organism: Helianthus annuus (common sunflower)
Lineage: Eukaryota; Viridiplantae; Streptophyta; Magnoliopsida; Asterales; Asteraceae
Exons: 9
Source: RefSeq, a predicted model, not a curated record
GCAGCCGAUCUGUUGGAGAUCAAACAGAUCAGACCCGACGACACCACCACUACAGAGAUCAAACAGAUCGGACCCAAACUUACUCUGUUACCGCCAUCGUAAAUUAACAAAGAAGACAACGAGUUUGAAUAAUUCUUAGCUAAAUUAAGCAAAACUAAAGCAAAAAAUUGACCUGCAAAUCUUCAAUUCGAGCUCGUGAAGGUUCAGAUCGUUUUUCUCCCAACCGAAAAGCCAAUCAUGCUAGAGACUUGCGGUACAUUAAUUGCUACUCUCCCAUUUUAGAUGCAUAUCAGCCUUUGGAUCAAGUUAAAAUGAAAUCAUGGCCGCGUUAAUUCAACAAAAGCUUCUAGAAGGGGAGGUUGAGGGCGGUUUUUUCAUUCCAUCAAUUUCUCCCCCACGUCGCUCUGAAACCUCUUCAAAUGUUGCGUCACUCUCAUCACAUCUAUCUACAUUUACAUAUCGCAAAACAGGGAACAAGCAGAGAUAUGGGGUUUCUUUCAAACAGAGUUGGGAGUAUUAAUUUGUAGAGAUCUGCGGGGUGGAACGUCGGUCACGGAAUUUGUGAAUUGAGAAGAGGUAUGUUUCUUCUUAAAAAUUCAAUGUUUCAUCUUAUCUUCUUAGGUUCUGCUUCUGCACAAUUUUUUUUUCUAUUUUGUUUCGAUUUGAAGUGGUGAUUUUUCCUAUUUCAGUUCAUUUGUUUAGGGAUUUUAGGUUUUUCAAUUUGUUUAACGUAUUGAAGGUUUAAUUUGUGUUUGGAUAUUUCAGAUUAGGGUUUCUAUGAAUACUAACAGUUUCCUAUCAAUUAUUACAAAAGGUAUUUCAAACCUUCUCAUUUCUACUCGUAUGCUUUUAGUUCUAAUUGGUUAUGUAGGGUGCAUUGUGUAGAAAGUGGUGAAGAAAGCAUACAGAGACAAUUAAUUUAUUCUCUAUAAUGCCACAUAUCAUAGGCAAUGAUCAUUUGCUCGAGGGGUUGAAGCAUAUUCAUAACAAAGAGCAAGCAAAAACAGUUACAACUGUUUCAAAUUCUUUACAACAAUCAAGUUACAGUUUCGAGCGCUAAUGCCACGGUGGCUUGGGAAGCCGGAAAGCCGCUGAUGAUUGAAGAAGUGGAGGUGGCACCACAACAGAAAAUGGAAGUAUGAAUUAAGAUCCUCUUCACUUCCCUCUGCCACACCGAUGUUUAGUAUCGGGAAGCCAAAGGGCAACAUCCUGUCUUUCCUUGGAUUUAGGAGUUGAUGCUAGAGGGGUUGUGGAGAGUGCAUGGGAAUGAGUGACAAAUCUACAGCCAGGGGAGAUGAAUUUUGUUAACAUGAACAUGUGUGACCUUCUCAGGAUCAACACUAACUAAAGUUUGUGUCCUCAGCUGUGGGAUCUCCACAUGUUAGGUGCUCCUUUGAACGUUGUAAAACCGAUGAAAGGUUCUUCUGUGGCCGUUUUCGGUUUGGGAGCUGUGGACUUACUGAUGCUGAAGGUGCAAGAAUUGCUGGUGUUUCAAGAACCAUUAUAGUUGAUCUCCUUGCCAAUAGAUUACAAGAAAUCGGUGCAAACAGCGUAAAUUUGAAGAGAUUUGGGGUUUGAGUUUGUGGACCCAAAAGAUUACAAGAAGCCGGUGCAAGAAAUGAUUGCAGAGAGGACAAAUGGAGGAGUUGACAGGAUUGUUGAAUGCACUGGUCAUAUUGAUGCUAUGAUCUUUGCCUUUGAAGGUGUUAUGAUAUAUGAAUUCACCUUAGACAUACCCUUUGCAUGCCCAUUUAUAUGUGUUUUUUAAUAAUGUUUUGUGGUGAUAUAAUUUUGGUGUAGGGUCGGGGAGUAGCUGUUUUGUGGGUGUUCCACAUAAAAAAUGUUGUCUUCCCUUUGAAUCUGUUGAACGAAAGGACUUUAAAAGUGUUGACCUUUUUUGUAACUA